GGAGAGGUGGCUGAGCGGCUGAAAGCAGGGGAUUGCUAAUCCCCCAUACGGGGUAAUAUCCGUAUCGAGGGUUCGAAUCCCUCCCUCUCCG
RNAcentral lists this transfer RNA (91 nucleotides) under Minisyncoccota bacterium. RNAcentral describes it as "tRNA-Ser". It matches the Rfam family "tRNA". From Rfam's summary of the family: Transfer RNA (tRNA) molecules are approximately 80 nucleotides in length. Their secondary structure includes four short double-helical elements and three loops (D, anti-codon, and T loops). The record is from RNAcentral. Lineage: Bacteria; Bacillati; Minisyncoccota. RNAcentral also lists the same sequence under 1 other name.